RNAcentral lists this unclassified non-coding RNA (410 nucleotides) under Hevea brasiliensis (rubber tree). The record is from RNAcentral. Lineage: Eukaryota; Viridiplantae; Streptophyta; Magnoliopsida; Malpighiales; Euphorbiaceae.
GAAGGAUCCAAAAACAUAGGGAGGGAAGAUAUCACAAGCCUUACACAAAAGGUUUUAACUUUGAGGAUUAAAGUAAAAGAAGCAACAAAGAUUAGAGGGGCUAAAGAAUAAACAUCAUAAAGCAACUAAAGAGCAAUCAGAAACUCGAGUUCCUCUAUCACUCACCGUGCGUCGACAGAGGUAAAUGAAUUUGCAAAACCAGAUGGCCGGUUCGGUAUGCUGGUUUGUGUAUUGUCUCCACUGGCAAGGAAUGAUGACGAAGAGGAUGACUCAUCCAUAUUGCUAUUUCCUUCAAAUGCCUGCCAUUUCCUAAGGGCCUGUGGUAAUGAAAGCUCAAGAUCUAUUCCCAAAUUCUCUUCAGAAUCUGGUUCUGUAGGCUUCCAGACAUCGACUAGAGACGAAAGCACGUU